AGAGUUUGAUCCUGGCUCAGAUUGAACGCUGGCGGCAGGCCUAACACAUGCAAGUCGAGCGGUAGCACAGAGAGCUUGCUCUCGGGUGACGAGCGGCGGACGGGUGAGUAAUGUCUGGGAAACUGCCUGAUGGAGGGGGAUAACUACUGGAAACGGUAGCUAAUACCGCAUAAUGUCGCAAGACCAAAGUGGGGGACCUUCGGGCCUCAUGCCAUCAGAUGUGCCCAGAUGGGAUUAGCUGGUAGGUGGGGUAACGGCUCACCUAGGCGACGAUCCCUAGCUGGUCUGAGAGGAUGACCAGCCACACUGGAACUGAGACACGGUCCAGACUCCUACGGGAGGCAGCAGUGGGGAAUAUUGCACAAUGGGCGCAAGCCUGAUGCAGCCAUGCCGCGUGUGUGAAGAAGGCCUUCGGGUUGUAAAGCACUUUCAGCGGGGAGGAAGGCGGUGAGGUUAAUAACCUCACCGAUUGACGUUACCCGCAGAAGAAGCACCGGCUAACUCCGUGCCAGCAGCCGCGGUAAUACGGAGGGUGCAAGCGUUAAUCGGAAUUACUGGGCGUAAAGCGCACGCAGGCGGUCUGUCAAGUCGGAUGUGAAAUCCCCGGGCUCAACCUGGGAACUGCAUUCGAAACUGGCAGGCUAGAGUCUUGUAGAGGGGGGUAGAAUUCCAGGUGUAGCGGUGAAAUGCGUAGAGAUCUGGAGGAAUACCGGUGGCGAAGGCGGCCCCCUGGACAAAGACUGACGCUCAGGUGCGAAAGCGUGGGGAGCAAACAGGAUUAGAUACCCUGGUAGUCCACGCUGUAAACGAUGUCGAUUUGGAGGUUGUGCCCUUGAGGCGUGGCUUCCGGAGCUAACGCGUUAAAUCGACCGCCUGGGGAGUACGGCCGCAAGGUUAAAACUCAAAUGAAUUGACGGGGGCCCGCACAAGCGGUGGAGCAUGUGGUUUAAUUCGAUGCGACGCGAAGAACCUUACCUGGUCUUGACAUCCACAGAACUUUCCAGAGAUGGAUUGGUGCCUUCGGGAACUGUGAGACAGGUGCUGCAUGGCUGUCGUCAGCUCGUGUUGUGAAAUGUUGGGUUAAGUCCCGCAACGAGCGCAACCCUUAUCCUUUGUUGCCAGCGGUCCGGCCGGGAACUCAAAGGAGACUGCCAGUGAUAAACUGGAGGAAGGUGGGGAUGACGUCAAGUCAUCAUGGCCCUUACGACCAGGGCUACACACGUGCUACAAUGGCAUAUACAAAGAGAAGCGACCUCGCGAGAGCAAGCGGACCUCAUAAAGUAUGUCGUAGUCCGGAUUGGAGUCUGCAACUCGACUCCAUGAAGUCGGAAUCGCUAGUAAUCGUAGAUCAGAAUGCUACGGUGAAUACGUUCCCGGGCCUUGUACACACCGCCCGUCACACCAUGGGAGUGGGUUGCAAAAGAAGUAGGUAGCUUAACCUUCGGGAGGGCGCUUACCACUUUGUGAUUCAUGACUGGGGUGAAGUCGUAACAAGGUAGCCGUA
This 1504-nucleotide ribosomal RNA is filed under the name Klebsiella variicola. Its description in RNAcentral is "bacterial SSU rRNA". It matches the Rfam family "Bacterial small subunit ribosomal RNA". Lineage: Bacteria; Pseudomonadati; Pseudomonadota; Gammaproteobacteria; Enterobacterales; Enterobacteriaceae. The record is from RNAcentral.